RNAcentral lists this ribosomal RNA (419 nucleotides) under uncultured microorganism. RNAcentral's name for it is "bacterial SSU rRNA". It matches the Rfam family "Bacterial small subunit ribosomal RNA", at positions 9 to 424 of the family's 1533-position model. The record is from RNAcentral.
GAGUUUGAUCAUGGCUCAGAUUGAACGCUGGCGGCAUGCCUUACACAUGCAAGUCGAACGGCAGCAUGAUCUAGCUUGCUAGAUUGAUGGCGAGUGGCGAACGGGUGAGUAAUACAUCGGAACGUGCCCUGUAGUGGGGGAUAACUAGUCGAAAGAUUAGCUAAUACCGCAUACGACCUGAGGGUGAAAGUGGGGGACCGCAAGGCCUCAUGCUAUAGGAGCGGCCGAUGUCUGAUUAGCUAGUUGGUGGGGUAAAGGCCCACCAAGGCGACGAUCAGUAGCUGGUCUGAGAGGACGAUCAGCCACGACUGGGACUGAGACACGGCCCAGACUCCUACGGGAGGCAGCAGUGGGGAAUUUUGGACAAUGGGCGAAAGCCUGAUCCAGCAAUGCCGCGUGUGUGAAGAAGGCCUCGGUUC